UGGUGGAGUGAUUUGUCUGCUUAAUUGCGAUAACGAACGAGACCUUAACCUGCUAAAUAGGCAGGCCAGCUUUUGCUGGUCGCAGCCUUCUUAGAGGGACUAUCGGCUUCAAGCCGAUGGAAGUUUGAGGCAAUAACA
This 138-nucleotide ribosomal RNA is filed under the name uncultured eukaryote. RNAcentral describes it as "partial 18S ribosomal RNA". It matches the Rfam family "Eukaryotic small subunit ribosomal RNA", at positions 1299 to 1458 of the family's 1831-position model. The record is from RNAcentral.